RNAcentral lists this ribosomal RNA (497 nucleotides) under uncultured bacterium. Its description in RNAcentral is "partial 16S ribosomal RNA". It matches the Rfam family "Bacterial small subunit ribosomal RNA", at positions 28 to 507 of the family's 1533-position model. The record is from RNAcentral.
GAUGAACGCUGGCGGCGUGCCUAAUACAUGCGAGUCGAGCGAACGGACGAGAAGCUUGCUUCUCUGAUGUUAGCGGCGGACGGGUGAGUAACACGUGGAUAACCUACCUAUAAGACUGGGAUAACUUCGGGAAACCGGAGCUAAUACCGGAUAAUAUUUUGAACCGCAUGGUUCAAAAGUGAAAGACGGUCUUGCUGUCACUUAUAGAUGGAUCCGCGCUGCAUUAGCUAGUUGGUAAGGAAACGGCUUACCAAGGCAACGAUGCAUAGCCGACCUGAGAGGGUGAUCGGCCACACUGGAACUGAGACACGGUCCAGACUCCUACGGGAGGCAGCAGUAGGGAAUCUUCCGCAAUGGGCGAAAGCCUGACGGAGCAACGCCGCGUGAGUGAUGAAGGUCUUCGGAUCGUAAAACUCUGUUAUUAGGGAAGAACAUAUGUGUAAGUAACUGUGCACAUCUUGACGGUACCUAAUCAGAAAGCCACGGCUAACUACGUG